Molecule: ribosomal RNA, 497 nt
Filed under: uncultured bacterium
Lineage: Bacteria
Description: partial 16S ribosomal RNA
Rfam family: Bacterial small subunit ribosomal RNA
Source: RNAcentral
GAUGAACGCUGGCGGCGUGCCUAAUACAUGCAAGUCGAGCGAACAGACGAGGAGCUUGCUCCUCUGACGUUAGCGGCGGACGGGUGAGUAACGCGUGGAUAACCUACCUAUAAGACUGGGAUAACUUCGGGAAACCGGAGCUAAUACCGGAUAAUAUAUUGAACCGCAUGGUUCAAUAGUGAAAGACGGUUUUGCUGUCACUUAUAGAUGGAUCCGCGCCGCAUUAGCUAGUUGGUAAGGUAACGGCUUACCAAGGCGACGAUGCGUAGCCGACCUGAGAGGGUGAUCGGCCACACUGGAACGGAGACACGGUCCAGACUCCUACGGGAGGCAGCAGUAGGGAAUCUUCCGCAAUGGGCGAAAGCCUGACGGAGCAACGCCGCGUGAGUGAUGAAGGUCUUCGGAUCGUAAAACUCUGUUAUUAGGGAAGAACAAAUGUGUAAGUAACUAUGCACGUCUUGACGGUACCUAAUCAGAAAGCCACGGCUAACUACGUG